ACCACUUCUCAGCCUUUUGGCUAAGAUUGAGUACUUGUUCUUAUUAGUCUAAUAGCUGAUAAGUUCUCUACUUGAGAACAAUAUACUAAAGGGAUUUUUGAAGUGAGAUGGAUUAUGAGCUUGUUUCAUUCUCUCCACACGUCAAUCUAAUUUUGUAGUAACUAUGAAUGAUGCUCCCCUC
This 181-nucleotide small nuclear RNA is filed under the name Echinops telfairi (small Madagascar hedgehog). RNAcentral describes it as "U2 spliceosomal RNA (ENSETEG00000021770.1)". It matches the Rfam family "U2 spliceosomal RNA". From Rfam's summary of the family: U2 is a small nuclear RNA (snRNA) component of the spliceosome (involved in pre-mRNA splicing). Complementary binding between U2 snRNA (in an area lying towards the 5' end but 3' to hairpin I) and the branchpoint sequence (BPS) of the intron results the bulging out of an unpaired adenosine, on the BPS, which initiates a nucleophilic attack at the intronic 5' splice site, thus starting the first of two transesterification reactions that mediate splicing. Lineage: Eukaryota; Metazoa; Chordata; Mammalia; Afrosoricida; Tenrecidae. The record is from RNAcentral.